AGUGAACGCUGGCGGUAGGCCUAACACAUGCAAGUCGAACGGCAGCACAGUAAGAGCUUGCUCUUACGGGUGGCGAGUGGCGGACGAGUGAGGAAUACAUCGGAAUCUACUUUUUCGUGGGGGAUAACGUAGGGAAACUUACGCUAAUACCGCAUACGACCUACGGGUGAAAGCAGGGGAUCUUCGGACCUUGCGCGAUUGAAUGAGCCGAUGUCGGAUUAGCUAGUUGGCGGGGUAAAGGCCCACCAAGGCGACGCUCCGUAGCUGGUCUGAGAGGGUGAGCCGCCACACUGGAACUGAGACACGGUCCAGACUCCUACGGGAGGCAGCAGUGGGGAAUAUUGGACAAUGGGCGCAAGCCUGAUCCAGCCAAACCGCGUGGGUGAAGAAGGCCUUCGGGUUGUAAAGCCCUUUUGUUGGGAAAGAAAAGCAGCAGGUUAAUACCCCGCUGUUCUGACGGUACCCAAAGAAUAAGCACCGGCUAACUUCGUG
Molecule: ribosomal RNA, 492 nt
Filed under: uncultured bacterium
Lineage: Bacteria
Description: partial 16S ribosomal RNA
Rfam family: Bacterial small subunit ribosomal RNA
Source: RNAcentral